This 253-nucleotide ribosomal RNA is filed under the name uncultured bacterium. RNAcentral describes it as "partial 16S ribosomal RNA". It matches the Rfam family "Bacterial small subunit ribosomal RNA", at positions 524 to 776 of the family's 1533-position model. The record is from RNAcentral.
UACGUAGGGACCGAGCGUUGUCCGGAUUCAUUGGGCGUAAAGAGCUCGUAGGCGGCUGCUCAAGUCGAAUGUGAAAACUCGAGGCUCAACCUCGAGCCUGCAUUCGAUACUGGGCGGCUAGAGUCUGGUAGGGGGAUCUGGAAUUCCUGGUGUAGCGGUGGAAUGCGCAGAUAUCAGGAGGAACACCGGUGGCGAAGGCGGGUCUCUGGACAGUUCCUGACACUGAGGCACGAAGGCCAGGGGAGCAAACGGG